Gorilla gorilla gorilla (western lowland gorilla) is the source of this 1587-nucleotide long non-coding RNA. RefSeq lists it as uncharacterized. The transcript has 6 exons. The record is from RefSeq and is a predicted model, not a curated record. NCBI's taxonomy places the organism in Eukaryota, Metazoa, Chordata, Mammalia, Primates, Hominidae.
GCUCAGUUGGUUAGAGCGUGGUGCUAAUAACGCCAAGGUCGCGGGUUCGAUCCCCGUACCGGCCAAAGGCCUUUCUAAUGUUUAUUUCACAGUAACAAUUUUGUGUAGCCACGUCAAAGCUCACAAGAGAAAAAGAAUGUAAAUGUGUGUGAACCCAGCAAUCUACACAGACUUCUAAUGCUUGUUUCACAGUAGCAACUGUGGGCAGUGAUACAGAAAGUCACAAGAGAACACGAAACUUCCCUCACUCAACUCUAGAGAUACUGGACUUAAGGAAAUGUCCCCAUAGAACGCUGAGCCUUUCACCUCCUCUUUGCUCGUCUCACGGCUUUGUCAGACACGAAACCAUCUUCUGGAAAAUGUCUUCCCUGACACCUCUCCUACUUUUCUGAGUUUGGGUUGCUUUCCUCCUAGCACUCACGGAGAUCCAGGAAGAGAAUCCCGGUGGGUUCUAACCUCAACCUGUAAAUCCACUAAGCAAGCUCCUACUGAACACCUAUGAUGCAAGCUCAAUCCAAGAGGCCAGCACUCCGCAAGGGGAAGGCAACCAAAGCAAUAGGCACAAAAUUGCCUUGUAUUCAAGUUCCAAGUACCAACCAGCCUUCCACGUGUUGUUGUUUCAAAGAUAACUCUAUUUGCAAAGCCUUUACGCUACUGUUCAGAGAUUUCCGGAGUGUGUGCAGCUUCAGUGAGAACUGGAAAGUGGGCCAUUGCGCAGCUCAGCUCUCAGGCUCUUUGUAGCUUCUGAAGUGAACAGCGUGAGUCUUUCCGUAGCUCCAGUGCCCAUUAUACUUUGUGGUGCAGACUACGUCCUCCAUAAACGUGGUAGAAUGGGCAAGAGAAACAUGAGUGAAAGGUCUUUUACCAGUGAAGCAUUCAAGAUGGCUGGUACUUCCUCGUUUUCUUCGACAGGUGACUAAUGAAGCCGUUCUCCACGUUGUACUGUAUGGACAUGCGGCCCCAAGUGACAACAUCGAUCCCACUACCUCUCACAUGCUAAGCGAGUACUCUACCACUUGAGCUCAUUCGUCACCUACCGCAAAACUUUCUGCCCUUUCCUUUAUUCAGGAGUAGAUGUGCGCGACUACCCACCAUUUCUUGCGUCUCGGAACAAAGGAAAUGUCUCGAUUAUUAAUGGGGAACCAGGACUCGACCUAAGGCGAGUCUACUCAAAAAUGGCCAAGGGCAAGGGCAUGAUGGCUAUUCCUCUGCGAGGGAGAGGGGAAAACGUAACCAGGAGAAAGUGGACACUGGAAAAGUCUGGUGCUGUAAGAUUUCACGUUCCAGAUUUUCAGGGAGAGAAGCGAGCACGUCCCAGCUGGGGAGCGCCCGCCCAGAGCGGCCUGCUAAUUUGGCCCAGCUAUCCCAGGAUGACGAUCUUUCUUUUAAAAGAGGCGGGAUUAUCACUUGUUCCUUGCAGCUCUGGACUCCCGGGAAGAAGCGGUCACUCCCGGUCAGAUUCUGGGAGACCAGAGAAACCUGUUGUUUCCGUUGAGUUUCAAAUAGAGGACCUUCCAUGUGUUAGGCCAGCGUGGUAACGACUACACCAUAGAAACCCUUUGCAUCACAGGCUUUUUAUAUUUUGAG